UAAGGUUCUCUCUUCCCUUGCUGGUUUUCAUUUUAUUAUCACUCACAUCUACAGGGAAGGGAACCGGGUUGCAGAUUGUUUGGCUUCUUCUGUAGCGGAGGAAGGCUAUUGGAAUUUUACGAUCCCGGAUAUCCUACAGUUGGUGAAGGAUGACAGGCGGCAACUUCCUUACAUUCGGGUUGUCACUUGAGCUUGGUCUCCUUGGGGAACUGUUUGUCUUGUUGUUUGCUUUGGUGUUUCCUGGGGCCACGGUUGUCUUUUGCACAGGUGACCAGAGCAGGGAGGAUUCAUAAUGCGUUCGGUGGGAAUCCUGUGCUGACUGCUCGGCUUAUUCCGGCCAGUGCAGAUCUCUCUAGAUGGCCUAAGCUGUCCCCUCGGGUUUUGUUGUUGGCUCUUUUGUGCUUGAGCUGUGUUUCUUCCGGCUUAGGGGGACGACUCGCCGAUGGGUUUUGGUUUGGCCGUAAUCUGUGGCGGCGGCUUUCCCGUCCCCUUAACUGUGGUCUGUUUUUUGGUUUUUCGUUAGGUGGUAUUGCGCCUUAUGGUCCCUUGUUGUACUGCUUUUCGUUUCACCAGUUUUGUAACAACUUUUCUUUCUUUCUUUUCAAUAAAAUUUUCAUUACAGC
This 623-nucleotide long non-coding RNA is filed under the name Salvia miltiorrhiza (redroot sage). RNAcentral's name for it is "long non-coding RNA (SMIL_LNC014136)". Lineage: Eukaryota; Viridiplantae; Streptophyta; Magnoliopsida; Lamiales; Lamiaceae. The record is from RNAcentral.